CUCCGUCAGUUGCACCACAUCAGCUUUCUAAAGAUAACGCGGCCAUUAAGAAAAGUAUCUUCAAGUUUGUUUGAUUUUACUAUUUUCUCUCUGAGCUCGCGUGACGCUUUUACCUGUACGACAUUCUUGGGGAACACGGACUCAAAAUUGUCUUGAAGGAAAACGAAAGUUGUGCCUGCGAUGAAAUGCAUUCGUACCUGAGGCUAUUGUACAUGCUAGUGUGAAUCGGUAAACCGUAUCUAUCGGAACCAGUUUCCUCUCGAUAGACCCAAGUCCCGCCGAUUUGAUCCGUUUUCUCGUAGCAUACUACUUGGUCGUUAACGCGAGCAGAACUUUCAGCGAAAAUGAUCGAUAAUCUAUUUCGUAAUUAACGGAGCACGGUAAUAUUUAUUUUAUAAUAGACGAGUCAAAACCUAACAACACAUAUUCAAAAAACAUCUAGAGAACAUUCAGGAUAUUUUAAAUCUUCUGGAUGUCCUCUGGAGGUCUUUUAAACGUGUAUGUUGUUAGGGGUAUCUUGGACCUGUCGCGUUUACUCAUAUCAUUCUUGGCCAAUCGGGAGGCAACUAAAAUUAAAUAAUAUGGAAUAUAAUAUCUUGUUUUUAUUUUUAUAUCACAAAAAAAUAGUCUCCAUACUGGUUAAGAAUGAUAAAAGUUAUCUGUUUAUUUGCGAUUUAGUUCGCGAGAAGCCGUUAUCUUUAAAUUAUUUUAAUUGGAAUAUGCUUUAGUUAUUACUAAUUGAUCAUGUGAAAAUUGAUACAAUAGUAGUUUGAAUGAGCUAUAUGUAUAUAGUUGCAAAAGAGAUUACACUCAUAUAUAAUUACUAUAAUUUCCUGUUUGAAAUUGGAUGAUCCAGAAUAAACGAUUCGUUCAGAAGCUGAUUACAUUGGGUGUAAUAACACAUUGGAUUUGCUAGAAAUAGAUGCUCUACAUAUAUAUAAGUAACAUCACGUUCAAUUAAAUGUGAUAAGACGAGAUAGAGAUAAGACGUCACAAUGUUAAUCAAAUUUAAAAUAACUUUCGAUAAAAUACAGUAUAAUUACACUUUACUCACACG
Formica exsecta is the source of this 1057-nucleotide long non-coding RNA. RefSeq lists it as uncharacterized. The record is from RefSeq and is a predicted model, not a curated record. NCBI's taxonomy places the organism in Eukaryota, Metazoa, Arthropoda, Insecta, Hymenoptera, Formicidae. The transcript has 4 exons.